This 800-nucleotide ribosomal RNA is filed under the name uncultured Bacillus sp. Its description in RNAcentral is "bacterial SSU rRNA". It matches the Rfam family "Bacterial small subunit ribosomal RNA", at positions 56 to 837 of the family's 1533-position model. Lineage: Bacteria; Bacillati; Bacillota; Bacilli; Caryophanales; Bacillaceae. The record is from RNAcentral.
UGCAAGUCGAGCGAAUGGAUUAAGAGCUUGCUCUUAUGAAGUUAGCGGCGGACGGGUGAGUAACACGUGGGUAACCUGCCCAUAAGACUGGGAUAACUCCGGGAAACCGGGGCUAAUACCGGAUAACAUUUUGAACCGCAUGGUUCGAAAUUGAAAGGCGGCUUCGGCUGUCACUUAUGGAUGGACCCGCGUCGCAUUAGCUAGUUGGUGAGGUAACGGCUCACCAAGGCAACGAUGCGUAGCCGACCUGAGAGGGUGAUCGGCCACACUGGGACUGAGACACGGCCCAGACUCCUACGGGAGGCAGCAGUAGGGAAUCUUCCGCAAUGGACGAAAGUCUGACGGAGCAACGCCGCGUGAGUGAUGAAGGCUUUCGGGUCGUAAAACUCUGUUGUUAGGGAAGAACAAGUGCUAGUUGAAUAAGCUGGCACCUUGACGGUACCUAACCAGAAAGCCACGGCUAACUACGUGCCAGCAGCCGCGGUAAUACGUAGGUGGCAAGCGUUAUCCGGAAUUAUUGGGCGUAAAGCGCGCGCAGGUGGUUUCUUAAGUCUGAUGUGAAAGCCCACGGCUCAACCGUGGAGGGUCAUUGGAAACUGGGAGACUUGAGUGCAGAAGAGGAAAGUGGAAUUCCAUGUGUAGCGGUGAAAUGCGUAGAGAUAUGGAGGAACACCAGUGGCGAAGGCGACUUUCUGGUCUGUAACUGACACUGAGGCGCGAAAGCGUGGGGAGCAACAGGAUUAGAUACCCUGGUAGUCCACGCCGUAAACGAUGAGUGCUAAGUGUUAGAGGGUUUCCGC